Styela clava is the source of this 1091-nucleotide non-coding RNA. The record is from RefSeq and is a predicted model, not a curated record. NCBI's taxonomy places the organism in Eukaryota, Metazoa, Chordata, Ascidiacea, Stolidobranchia, Styelidae.
AGAAUGACCAUUUGGCCGACUUAAGCAUGUUUGUGCCUGAAUAUAUAGUUAAAUUUCACAUGAAAGGUAGUUCUAUACUGACCUUUUCUUCAGACAGGAUGGAAGAUCAAAUUAUUGAAUAAAGUAAUUUUCCAGAUCCGCAAACUCAAAACAAGGACGAUUACAGAGAACCCAAGCCUUAUUUCUGACAAUUUAUUUAUUGCAAUGGUAUCAACGCUCUUCUGUUUUCUACCACUCGGCAUAGUAGCACUUUACUACACAUGGAAGGUGCAGAAGUCGCUGUCAGAAAAUAAGAUCGACGAUGCCAGACUUUAUUCAUUAAAAGGAAGGAAAUUCGCCAACACCGGUAUCAUGAUGGGAAUAACGGGUCUCGCCCUCGUAGUUCUGAUUUUAUUAGUCAAAGACAACGUGCCGUAUUCAUCAUUGGAAUACGAUUAUUAUUUGCCAGAUGUAGCAGUGUGAUCUAAUAUUGAUUUAAAAAAAACGCAGUGAAUUCACAAAAAACCUUGCUGUAAUAUUAGUAUCAUACAAAAUCCUAUUUGAAAGCUUGCUCUAGUUAUUUCACCAGUAUUUGGUAUUACUUUCAUAACGUGUUCUGUUUAUGCCGUAAAUCAUUUUGCCAUUAGGGUAAGUUAAGAAAGUAUUUGAAAUUAAAUUUAUUGAAUCUGUAACAUGAUUGGUUGUAUUUCACAAUUGAUAAAAAUAGAAAUAUAUUAUGUUGAUUAUCUAUCGCAAAUUACCCCGCCUAGACUGCUGAAUUCUAUUGUGUGUCACUUUUGACUGCAGUGAAAAAGAGCGUUGUCGAAAUAUUUGUCAGGGUAUCAAUAAGAGUCAAGACGGUUAUGUUCUGAAAAUUUGGGUAACCCAAAUAGAAAUUUAUUUGUAACAAAACUUGUGAAUUUUAUUUCUUAUAUUUAUUUUAUAAAACAACUAUUUUUAAGCGCUUUAGCGACACAGUUUGUUUAAUGACUUUACUGCACAACUGUGGUUGAAAUUACGAAAGUAAUUAGAUAAUUUAUUGAUGAUUGAAUCUGAGCCGACGUGAAAUUUCUAUUUUGUUCAAUUGAAUGACCGGAAAUAAAUUUUGUUUG